UACGUAGGGUGCAAGCGUUGUCCGGAAUUAUUGGGCGUAAAGAGCUCGUAGGCGGCUUGUCGCGUCGAAUGUGAAAUCUCAGGGCUCAACUCUGACAUUGCAUUCGAUACGGGCAGGCUCGAGUUCGGUAGGGGAGACUGGAAUUCCUGGUGUAGCGGUGGAAUGCGUAGAUAUCAGGAGGAACACCGAUGGCGAAGGCAGGUCUCUGGGCUGACACUGACGCUCAUGCACGAAGCGUGGGAG
Molecule: ribosomal RNA, 243 nt
Filed under: uncultured bacterium
Lineage: Bacteria
Description: partial 16S ribosomal RNA
Rfam family: Bacterial small subunit ribosomal RNA
Source: RNAcentral